Molecule: small nuclear RNA, 104 nt
Organism: Bison bison bison
Lineage: Eukaryota; Metazoa; Chordata; Mammalia; Artiodactyla; Bovidae
Source: Ensembl
GUGCUUGCUUCAGCAGCACAUAUAAUAAAAUUGGAAUGAUACAGAGAUUAGCAUGGCCCCUGCACAAGUAUGACAUGGAAAUUCAUGAAGCAUUCCAUAUUUAA